GAUGAAGAACGCAGUGAAAUGCGAUAAGUAAUGUGAAUUGCAGAAUUCAGUGAAUCAUCGAAUCUUUGAACGCACAUUGCGCCCGCUGGUAUUCCGGCGGGCAUGCCUGUUCGAGCGUCAUUUCAACCCUCAAGCUCUCCGGAGUUUGGUGUUGGGGCGCCUGGGGCUUUUCGACCUCAGGGCCCUCAAGUCCAUCGGCGGGACCGCCAGGACACUGAGCGCAGUAGUAUUAUUUCGCUCGGUAGGAUCUUCCACGGCGGGUCGAUCUGGCCGCUAAACCCCCCAAUUCUCACCAAAGGUUGACCUCGGAUCAGGUAGGAAUACCCGCUGAACUUAAGCAAAUCAAUAAGCGGAGGA
RNAcentral lists this unclassified non-coding RNA (357 nucleotides) under soil metagenome. RNAcentral describes it as "partial contains 5.8S ribosomal RNA, internal transcribed spacer 2, and large subunit ribosomal RNA". The stretch from base 1 to 120 matches the Rfam family "5.8S ribosomal RNA", at positions 35 to 154 of the family's 154-position model. The record is from RNAcentral.